UCCCCAAAUCCACCUCACUGACAUGGAGGAUUUUUUUGCAAGAAUCCAUUUCAAUAAUUAGCUUGAAGCAAACCCAGCCAUUACCAAAUGCAACACAGCAACAGUACACGAUAGAGACAUAAUACGAUGCACUUCAUUUCAAAACAAACCCAUUUCAUUUCAGUCUGAGAAUCCAAUGCGUCUGAGGGCUUUUGGUGCUGGGAGAGGCAGCGCGGCGCGACGCCGAGCAGAGCUUGCGGUGCUGGGAGAGGCGGCUACGGCCUGCUGGCUGAGCACGGGGGGCAACGCCGCCUGUGGGAAGAGGCGCCGACGGCGACGAUGUGGGAGGGAGGCGCAACCGCGCGAGGGAGGCAGGCAGGCGUAAGACGUGCGAAAUGAAUGAAGUGAAACUGAAAAAUCU
Molecule: long non-coding RNA, 400 nt
Filed under: Salvia miltiorrhiza (redroot sage)
Lineage: Eukaryota; Viridiplantae; Streptophyta; Magnoliopsida; Lamiales; Lamiaceae
Description: long non-coding RNA (SMIL_LNC000228)
Source: RNAcentral